RNAcentral lists this ribosomal RNA (402 nucleotides) under uncultured bacterium. Its description in RNAcentral is "bacterial SSU rRNA". It matches the Rfam family "Bacterial small subunit ribosomal RNA", at positions 355 to 774 of the family's 1533-position model. The record is from RNAcentral.
UGGGGAAUCUUGCACAAUGGGGGAAACCCUGAUGCAGCGACGCCGCGUGAACGAUGAAGCCCUUCGGGGUGUAAAGUUCUUUCGACAGGAACGAUAAUGACGGUACCUGGAGAAGAAGCUGCGGCUAACUACGUGCCAGCAGCCGCGGUAAUACGUAGGCAGCGAGCGUUGUUCGGAGUUACUGGGCGUAAAGAGUGCGUAGGCGGCGAGCCAAGUUUGGUGUGAAAUCUCCCGGCUUAACUGGGAGGGUGCGCCGAAGACUGGGAUGCUGGAGUGUGGGAAAGGCAGGCGGAAUUCCUGGUGUAGCGGUGAAAUGCGUAGAUAUCAGGAGGAACACCGGCGGUGUAGACGGCUUGCUAGACCAUAACUGACGCUGAGGCACGAAAGCGUGGGUAGCAAACA